Molecule: transfer RNA, 71 nt
Filed under: Samaris cristatus (cockatoo righteye flounder)
Lineage: Eukaryota; Metazoa; Chordata; Actinopteri; Pleuronectiformes; Samaridae
Description: tRNA-Ser
Rfam family: tRNA
About the family: Transfer RNA (tRNA) molecules are approximately 80 nucleotides in length.
Source: RNAcentral
AAGGAAGUGACAGACUGGCUAUGUGGUUGGCUUGAAACCAUCUUAUAGGGGUUCGAUUCCCUUCUUUCUUG